UACGUAGGGGGCGAGCGUUGUCCGGAUUCAUUGGGCGUAAAGAGCUCGUAGGCGGUUCGGCAAGUCGGGUGUGAAAACUCCAGGCUCAACCUGGAGACGCCACCCGAUACUGCUGUGACUCGAGUCCGGUAGGGGACCACGGAAUUCCUGGUGUAGCGGUGAAAUGACGCAGAGUAUCAGGAGGAACACCGGUGGCGAAGGCGGUGGUCUGGGCCGGUACUGACGCUGAGACGCGAAAGCGUGGGGAGCAAACAGG
RNAcentral lists this ribosomal RNA (256 nucleotides) under uncultured bacterium. Its description in RNAcentral is "partial 16S ribosomal RNA". It matches the Rfam family "Bacterial small subunit ribosomal RNA", at positions 524 to 776 of the family's 1533-position model. The record is from RNAcentral.